AACGAACGCUGGCGGCAUGCCUAACACAUGCAAGUCGAACGAGACCUUCGGGUCUAGUGGCGCACGGGUGCGUAACGCGUGGGAACCUGCCCUUAGGUUCGGAAUAACUCCCCGAAAGGGGUGCUAAUACCGGAUAAUGUCUUCGGACCAAAGAUUUAUCGCCUUUGGAUGGGCCCGCGUUGGAUUAGCUAGUUGGUAGGGUAAAAGCCUACCAAGGCGACGAUCCAUAGCUGGUCUGAGAGGAUGAUCAGCCACACUGGGACUGAGACACGGCCCAGACUCCUACGGGAGGCAGCAGUGGGGAAUAGUGGACAAUGGGCGAAAGCAUGAUCCAGCAAUGCCGGGUGAGUGAUGAAGGCAUGAGGGUUGUAAAGCUCUUUUAACCGGGAUGAUAAUGACAGUACCGGGAGAAUAAGCGCCGGCUAACUCCGUG
Molecule: ribosomal RNA, 433 nt
Filed under: uncultured bacterium
Lineage: Bacteria
Description: partial 16S ribosomal RNA
Rfam family: Bacterial small subunit ribosomal RNA
Source: RNAcentral